AACGAACGCUGGCGGCGUGCCUAAUACAUGCAAGUCGAACGAGAAAGUGGCUUCGGUCAUGAGUAAAGUGGCAGACGGGUGAGUAAUACAUAGGUAAUUUACCUCCAAGAUGGGGAUAACCUUCCGAAAGGAGGGCUAAUACCGAAUUAGACCACAGGUGCUUUGGCACUAGGGGUUAAAGGUGGCCUCUACUUGUAAGCUACCGCUUGGAGAUGAGCUUAUGCACCAUCAGCUUGUUGGUAGGGUAACGGCCUACCAAGGCUUUGACGGUUAGCUGAUCUGAGAGGUUGAUCAGCCACACUGGAACUGAGACACGGUCCAGACUCCUACGGGAGGCAGCAGUAGGGAAUAUUGCGCAAUGGAGGAAACUCUGACGCAGCGACGCCGCGUGGGUGAUGAAGGCUUUCGGGUCGUAAGCCCUGUCGGCAGGGAAGAAAAACGUAAGCAGCUAACAUCUGCUACGCUUGACGGUACCUGCAAAGGAAGCACCGGCGUAACU
RNAcentral lists this ribosomal RNA (499 nucleotides) under uncultured bacterium. Its description in RNAcentral is "bacterial SSU rRNA". It matches the Rfam family "Bacterial small subunit ribosomal RNA", at positions 29 to 503 of the family's 1533-position model. The record is from RNAcentral.